Molecule: ribosomal RNA, 484 nt
Filed under: uncultured bacterium
Lineage: Bacteria
Description: partial 16S ribosomal RNA
Rfam family: Bacterial small subunit ribosomal RNA
Source: RNAcentral
AUUGAACGCUGGCGGCAUGCUUUACACAUGCAAGUCGAACGGCAGCGCGGGCUUCGGCCUGGCGGCGAGUGGCGAACGGGUGAGUAAUGCAUCGGAACGUGCCCAGUAGUGGGGGAUAGCCCGGCGAAAGCCGGAUUAAUACCGCAUACGACCUGAGGGUGAAAGCGGGGGACCGAAAGGCCUCGCGCUAUUGGAGCUGCCGAUGUCGGAUUAGCUAGUUGGUGGGGUAAAGGCUUACCAAGGCGACGAUCCGUAGCUGGUCUGAGAGGACGACCAGCCACACUGGGACUGAGACACGGCCCAGACUCCUACGGGAGGCAGCAGUGGGGAAUUUUGGACAAUGGGGGCAACCCUGAUCCAGCCAUGCCGCGUGAGGGAAGAAGGCCUUCGGGUUGUAAACCGCUUUUGUUCGGGAAGAAAUCCUCUGGGCUAAUACCCCGGGGGGAUGACGGUACCGGAAGAAUAAGCACCGGCUAACUACGUG